This 270-nucleotide ribosomal RNA is filed under the name uncultured archaeon. RNAcentral describes it as "partial 16S ribosomal RNA". It matches the Rfam family "Archaeal small subunit ribosomal RNA", at positions 477 to 747 of the family's 1478-position model. The record is from RNAcentral.
CAGCACCUCAAGUGGUCAGGAUGAUUAUUGGGCCUAAAGCAUCCGUAGCCGGCUCUGUAAGUUUUCGGUUAAAUCUGUACGCUUAACGUACAGGCUGCCGGGAAUACUGCAGAGCUAGGGAGUGGGAGAGGUAGACGGUACUCGGUAGGAAGGGGUAAAAUCCCUUGAUCUAUUGAUGACCACCUGUGGCGAAGGCGGUCUACCAGAACACGUCCGACGGUGAGGGAUGAAAGCUGGGGGAGCAAACCGGAUUAGAGACCCGAGUAGUCC